CAUCAUUCAUUUCUCUCUGCCUUGCUUCUGUUCUCGCAGCUGCAGCGUCAGCGGUACCCAAACUCUGCCCAGCUGGCACCUUUUCCAGCCUCCCAGGGAGGAGCAAGCUUUCCGAGUGCCAGCCUUGCCCCUCUGGCUUCUACUGCGAAGGACCUGGCCUCAGUGCCCCAACUGGAGAGUGCUGGGAAGGCUAUUACUGUGACAGCCAGCAAGGGCCAGUUAUUGAUGUUACCCUUUACCCGUGCCCGCAAGGUUUUUACUGCCCACCAGGGACGAACAGGAGCACUCAGUACGCCUGCCCUGCAGGAACCUUUGGACCAAGGCAAAAACUGAAAACUCAAAAGGAAUGUCAGAGAUGCCCACCAGGAAAAUACUGUGAAUUCUCUGGACUUGCUGCCCCCACAGGAGACUGUGCUGAGGGAUUCUGGUGCAAAAGUGGUGCCCGAGUAAGAAACCCCCAAGAUGGAGAAUCAGGACUUCCUUGUCCUCCUGGUCAUUAUUGUCCUGAAGGCACUCUGCUUCCGUUGCAGUGCCCUCCUGGCACGUGGUCUGGCAGUGAAGGUAGAAGGAGUGUGCAGGAAUGCCAGCCAUGUCCUGGGGGGUAUUACUGCAACAGCUCUGGGCAGAGGGCACCCUCAGGACACUGCAGCCCAGGGUACUACUGUGUCACUAGAGCCCAGACCCCAGUGCCCACUGAUGGCCUCUCAGGAGCUCCGUGUCCAGUCAGUCACUUUUGUCCUCUUGGAUCCGGGAGUCCAACCCCGUGCCCCCCUGGCUCCCACAUGCCGCACACCCACGGAGAGCAGUGCUAUCCUUGCCCGGUGGGUGAAUUCUGUGUCUCUGGUGAGAAGCCACGGCCAUGUCCCCAGGGUGAGUUAUGGUUCCCACUUAACUGUCUAGUUUGUCUUCGAUUUUCUAGAAGAGAUUCUGAUCUUUCCUUUCUUUUCCAGGUUAUUUCUGUCCCAAGGGCACAGCUUUUCCGAUUGCUUGUCCGGCUGGGUCCUAUAACCCUUCCCAAAGGCAACCCAGCUGCCUCCCCUGUCCUGAAGGCUUCUUCUGCCCCAAGAAUUCGUCUUCCUUUUUGGAGAACGAAUGUUCAGCCGGCCACUACUGCCCUCCCGGUACUGCUUCUGCAACUCAGUUCCCGUGUCCUCAGGGGACUUACAACCCACAGCCUGGAAGCAGCCUGA
Molecule: long non-coding RNA, 1190 nt
Filed under: Calidris pugnax (ruff)
Lineage: Eukaryota; Metazoa; Chordata; Aves; Charadriiformes; Scolopacidae
Description: lncRNA (ENSCPUG00000014077.1)
Source: RNAcentral